This 444-nucleotide ribosomal RNA is filed under the name uncultured bacterium. Its description in RNAcentral is "partial 16S ribosomal RNA". It matches the Rfam family "Bacterial small subunit ribosomal RNA", at positions 354 to 796 of the family's 1533-position model. The record is from RNAcentral.
GUAGGGAAUUUUCGGCAAUGGGCGCAAGCCUGACCGAGCAACGCCGCGUGAGUGAUGAAGGUCUUCGGAUCGUAAAGCUCUGUUGUAAGGGAAGAACGUCUCUGUAAGAAACAGGGAGUGACGGUACCUUACCAGAAAGCCACGGCUAACUACGUGCCAGCAGCCGCGGUAAUACGUAGGUGGCAAGCGUUAUCCGGAAUUAUUGGGCGUAAAGGGUGCGUAGGCGGCUUGUUAAGUUUAUGGUGAAAGCGUGGGGCUUAACCCCAUUAAGCCAUAGAUACUGGCAGGCUAUAGUGUAGAAGAGGGCAGUGGAAUGCCAUGUGUAGCGGUAAAAUGCGUAGAUAUAUGGAGGAACACCAGUGGCGAAGGCGGCUGCCUAGUCUACAACUGACGCUGAGGCACGAAAGCGUGGGGAGCAAAUAGGAUUAGAAACCCUUGUAGUCC